AGAAAGCACCUGCUAACUACGUGCCAGAAGCCUCGGUAAUACGUAGGGUGCAAGCGUUAUCCGGAUUUAUUGGGCGUAAAGCGUCUGUAGGUGGAUAUGUAGGUGGCUCGUUAAAGCCCACGGCUCAACUGUGGAACAGCGAGUCAAACCGUAUGUCUAGAGUAUGUUAGGGGAGGUUGGAAUUCUCGGUGGAGGGGUGAAAUCCAUUGAUAUCGAGAGGAACGUCAAGGGCGAAGGCAAACCUCUGGGACAUUACUGACACUAAGAGACGAAAGCUAGGGUAGCAAAAGGGAUUAGAGACCCCUGUAGUCCUAGCCGUAAACGAUGAAUACUAGCUGGGCGACUUUUGUUGUCUGGCGCAAGCUAACGCGUUAAGUAUUCCGCUCUGGGUAGUACGGCCGCAAGGCUAAAACUCAAAGGAAUU
This 424-nucleotide ribosomal RNA is filed under the name uncultured bacterium. RNAcentral describes it as "bacterial SSU rRNA". It matches the Rfam family "Bacterial small subunit ribosomal RNA", at positions 485 to 911 of the family's 1533-position model. The record is from RNAcentral.